UUUACCUAAAUAAAAAAAAAAAAAAAAAAAAAAGAGUCCAAACUGCAUUGUCGUCAAUUUUUCUGAAAAACAAAGAGUAAAGUGUGAAGAGAGAGAAAAGUAGGAAAGAGGAAAAGAGUAAAGUGUGAGAAAAAAGCAAAGAGAGAAGAGAGGAAAAAGAAGAAAGUUUAAGGAAAGAACAAAGAGAAAAAGAACAAAGUGUGAGGAAAGAGGAAAAAGAACAAAGUGCUGCUUUACUCUUGUGUUUGAUUGUUUCAGAUGCUGAGAGAUCAAGUGGUGGACGUCCAGAGAGGAGAGGUGAGUUAGAAACAUGCACAUUGUCAGUCAUUGUAGACAGUCGACUUUGUUCUUUUACUCAUGUGUUUAUUGUGUUUGUUUAUUUCAGAUGUGAGAGAUCAAGUGGUGGACGUCCAGAGAGCAGAGAUGCUGAGAGAUCAAGUGGUGGACGUCCAGAGAGGAGAG
Long non-coding RNA from Amphiprion ocellaris (clown anemonefish), 462 nucleotides. The record is from Ensembl. Lineage: Eukaryota; Metazoa; Chordata; Actinopteri; Pomacentridae.